UUGUGUUUAAUUCUAAGUUUAGGGUAGCUCCAUAAGAAACUGGGAGUAAUGUGAGUGCGUAGAAAAUAAGAAAAACGACCAUAAAAAAAGGAAACAAAAGAAAGAGAAAAGAAAAGAGAAAAUCGAUAGAACAAAGAAAAGCACUCACCAAAUGAAAAGCACUCAGUAGGGUACAAAACCAAAAACAAAAAGAACAGACAAACUAAGGUUAAAAAGAAAAGAAAUGUCAAUGGUAUGUUAGAACAAACACAGUGAAAAGAAUAAUAACAUUUAUAGCGGUAAAAAGCUAUGAAUAAACUUGACAUCAAUAAAACCAGAGUCGCCAUCAUGCUUUUAUUAUUUCAAAAGAAAAAGGGAAAAGUAAGAACAAAAC
Molecule: long non-coding RNA, 373 nt
Filed under: Lathyrus oleraceus (garden pea)
Lineage: Eukaryota; Viridiplantae; Streptophyta; Magnoliopsida; Fabales; Fabaceae
Description: Pisum sativum (pea) long non-coding RNA (PSAT_LNC011482)
Source: RNAcentral